Molecule: long non-coding RNA, 406 nt
Filed under: Jatropha curcas
Lineage: Eukaryota; Viridiplantae; Streptophyta; Magnoliopsida; Malpighiales; Euphorbiaceae
Description: long non-coding RNA (JCUR_LNC002892)
Source: RNAcentral
CAGCCCAUGGUAGAUAUUGUCCGCUUUGGGUGCCAAACCUGGCCUGAACCCUCACGGUUUUGUUUUUGGGCCAGGGAAAACCUCCGCUCUGCCAGCCCAAAACGCGUCUACCAUGUUCAAGGUUGCCACCCUUUAUGUAUAGGACUUCCACCUUGUGCGUAGCCGAUGUGGGAUUCGCCUAAGGUGUUGUGCCCCAAACCUGGGAUGUCACAUACACCCCCCCUUAAGGACUCAGCGUCCUCGCUGAGGUUUGCCCCACCACCGGCCAGAGGGACAAGGCUUGGCUCUGAUACCAAAUUGUAACAGCCCAGCCCUAGUGUGAUAUUGUCCGCUUUGGGUGCCAAACCUGGCCUGAACCCUCACGGUUUUGUUUUUGGGCCAGGGAAAACCUCCGCUCUGCCAGCCC